Molecule: ribosomal RNA, 505 nt
Filed under: uncultured bacterium
Lineage: Bacteria
Description: partial 16S ribosomal RNA
Rfam family: Bacterial small subunit ribosomal RNA
Source: RNAcentral
GACGAACGCUGGCGGCGUGCCUAAUACAUGCAAGUAGAACGCACAGUUUAUACCGUAGCUUGCUACACCAUAGACUGUGAGUUGCGAACGGGUGAGUAACGCGUAGCUAACCUGCCUGGUAGCGGGGGAUAACUAUUGGAAACGAUAGCUAAUACCGCAUAAUAUUCAUUAUUGCAUGAUAAUUAAUUGAAAGGUGCAAUUGCACCACUACCAGAUGGACCUGCGUUGUAUUAGCUAGUAGGUGAGGUAACGGCUCACCUAGGCGAAGAUACAUAGCCGACCUGGGAGGGUGAUCGGCCACCCCGGGACUGGGACACCGCCCAGACUCCUACGGGGGGCAGCAGUAGGGAAUCUUCGGCAAUGGAGGAAGGUCUGACCGAGCAACGCCGCGGGAGUGAAGAAGGUUUUCGGAUCGGAAAGCUCUGUUGUAAGAGAAGAACGGGUGUGAGAGUGGAAAGUUCACACUGUGACGGUAUCUUACCAGAAAGGGACGGCUAACUACGUG